RNAcentral lists this ribosomal RNA (1090 nucleotides) under Bryolawtonia vancouveriensis. RNAcentral describes it as "partial 26S ribosomal RNA". It matches the Rfam family "Eukaryotic large subunit ribosomal RNA", at positions 47 to 1133 of the family's 3401-position model. Lineage: Eukaryota; Viridiplantae; Streptophyta; Bryopsida; Hypnales; Neckeraceae. The record is from RNAcentral.
UAAGCGGAGGAGAAGAAACUAACCAGGAUUUCCCUAGUAACGGCGAGCGAACCGGAAAGAGCCCAGCUUGAAAAUCGCGGCGCUUCGCGCCUCGAAUUGUAGUCUGGAGAAGGUCCCUCUGCGACGCGCCGGACCCAAGUUCCCUGGAAAGGGACGUCAUCGAGGGUGACAACCCCGUCCGCGCCCGGAACGCGUCGCUCCACGAGGACCUGUCUGCGAGUCGGGCUGUUUGGGAAUGCAGCCCUAAGCGGGAGGUAAAUUCCUUCCAAGGCUAAAUAUGGGCAAGAGACCGAUAGCGAACAAGUACCGCGAGGGAAAGAUGAAAAGGACUUUGAAAAGAGAGUUAAAAAGUGCUUGAAAUUGCUGGGAGGGAAGCGAAUGGAAGCUGCGGGUGCGCCCCGGUUGGAUGUGGAACGGCUUCGGCUGGUCCGCCGCUCAACGCGGGGCGCUGGUCAGCGUGGGCCACGGCGCCGGGACAAGAGCGGGGAUUCGCUUCCCGCCUAUGCCGGUGCGGUGGCCGAGGAACGAAGCGCGCGCCUCACGGCGUGGGUUCGCCCAACUGCGCGCUCGGGACGCUGGCGUAUUGAGCUCUUCAUCCGACCCGUCUUGAAACACGGACCAAGGAGUCUAACAUGUAUGCGAGCCGGUGGGCGGCAAACCCAUUGAGGCGCAAGUAAACUGACAGGUGGGACCCCGACCGCAAGGGAGGGAGCACCAUCGACCGACCGUGAUCUUCUGUGAAAGGUUUGAGUGUGAGCAUACCUGUUGGGACCCGAAAGAUGGUGAACUAUGCCUGAGCAGGGCGAAGCCAGAGGAAACUCUGGUGGAGGCUCGUAGCGAUACUGACGUGCAAAUCGUUCGUCAGACUUGGGUAUAGGGGCGAAAGACUAAUCGAACCAUCUAGUAGCUGGUUCCCUCCGAAGUUUCCCUCAGGAUAGCUGGAGCUCGUGUACAAGUUUUAUCAGGUAAAGCGAAUGAUUAGAGGCAUCGGGGGUGCAACACCCUCGACCUAUUCUCAAACUUUAAAUAGGUAAGCCGCCGGGGUUGCUUGGUUGAACCCCGGCACAGAAUGAGAGCUCCAAGUGGGCCA